Molecule: long non-coding RNA, 561 nt
Organism: Oncorhynchus tshawytscha (Chinook salmon)
Lineage: Eukaryota; Metazoa; Chordata; Actinopteri; Salmoniformes; Salmonidae
Source: Ensembl
AGGCAGGUAGCCUAGUGGUUAGAGUGUAGAGGUGGCAGGUAGCCUAGUGGUUAGAGUGUAGAGGAGGCAGGUAGCCUAGUGGUUAGAGUGUAGAGGCGGCAGGUAGUCUAGUGGUUAGAGUGUAGAGGAGGCAGGUAGCCUAGUGGUUAGAGUGUAGAGGAGGCAGGUAGUCUAUUGGUUAGAGUGUAGAGGAGGCAGGUAGCCUAGUGGUUAGAGUGUAGAGGAGGCAGGUAGCCUAGUGGUUAGAGUGUAGAGGAGGCAGGUAGCCUAGUGGUUAGAGUGUAGAGGUGGCAGGUAGCCUAGUGGUUAGAGUGUAGAGGUGGCAGGUAGCCUAGUGGUUAGAGUGUAGAGGAGGCAGGUAGCCUAGUGGUUAGAGUGUAGAGGUGGCAGGUAUCCUAGUGGUUAGAGUGUAGAGGUGGCAGGUAGCCUAGUGGUUAGAGUGUAGAGGAGGCAGGUAGCCUAGUGGUUAGAGUGUAGAGGUGGCAGGUAGCCUAGUGGUUAGAGUGUAGAGGUGGCAGGGUAGCCUAGUGGUUAGAGUGUAGAGGCUGCAGGGUAGCCUAG